Felis catus (domestic cat) is the source of this 2809-nucleotide long non-coding RNA. RefSeq lists it as uncharacterized. NCBI's taxonomy places the organism in Eukaryota, Metazoa, Chordata, Mammalia, Carnivora, Felidae. The record is from RefSeq and is a predicted model, not a curated record. The transcript is spliced from 7 exons.
GGCUCUGCACUGUCAGUACAGAGCCUGCUUGGGAUUCAUUCUCUCUCCCUCUCUGUUUGCCCUUCCCCUGUUCUGUCUCUCUCUCUCUCAAAAUAAAUAAACUUAAAAAAGAAAAAAACAGAGAUGCAGAUACCAAUUUUAUCCACCAGAUUGACAGCGAUCAGAAAAUAGGAUACGAAAUAGGAUAUUAAAUGUGGAUGAAGACAGGGGACACUGGGAGUUCUCCAGCACAGCGGGCCGAACAGCACUGAUGAAGUGAGGUGUCUGGUUCUGUUCCGGAGGGCUGCCUCUCACGUUGGGGCCACACACCCCAGGAGGGGACCCGCACCAGGACACCCAUCAUAACCCUGUUGGAGAUGGCAUGUUGUGGAGGGAACCCAGGCUGGAUCCCUCAGAGUCCUAGCAGGAAACAGAUGGCAUGCCCAAAUCAGGAUCCUUUGAGGAGGGUUAAUUUAUAAAGGGACUGUUUACAAAAGUGUGGGUACAGGGAAACCCCAGAGAUAAUGCAGAAGCCCCAGGUUCAGAGCAGCAGAGACGAUACCGAGGCCAUUUGGGUUUGGCCAAGUGUUGUGUGGACAAGCAGGAUCCAGCCAGCUAUGGGUCUGCUGCCAGAAGGAUCCCCAGAAAGAAAUGCCCUGCCCCCCUGUCCCUCUCCACUCACCCCCCUCAGCCCCUCUUGGGACUUCUCUUUGGCUACACCCAAUCAGAAGCCAGAGAGCAAGGAGCCCAUUGUUGGGGUCAUAUGAGGCAUCCCGCUGGGCACAGAGCAGGAGGAGAGGGUGGAGGGGAGCCUGAAGGGAACAGGAGUGUCCUUCCUUCCAGGGCAGGAGGAGUGUCCUUCUCCGUGUCCUCCCGCCCUGGAGAAAAGAGGAAUCACAGCACACACUUGCCUUGGAACACAACACGGCCAUCAGAAGAAGUAUAGACGUACAAACAACGUCAUUGGGUCUUAAAAUCUGGUGCUGAGUUAAAAAAAGACAACAAAGACACAAGAUGGAGAGCCCACCAUGUGCACACGUUUAAAUGCUCAUGUACACGAAGCCAAAUCUUCUCAAAGAUUCGCGGGACAUCCGAGGCACCAACCAGAAGGAGGGCCGUGGGAGCAGGGACUGGAGAUCUGUGAGGGAAAGAUGAAGAGCAAUAAAACAAGAGCCCCCCAGGACUGAGCAAUGAGCAGCGUAGGAUCGACUCAGUGCCUCGCCUGGAGGACAGUGACAGACUCCCUGAAUCCUGCUCCCCAGACACCCACGCCUGCCUGGUGCUCAGCACACAUCCUCUUUACCGAUCCUGGAGGCUGCUGAAAGGGGCUCUUUUCCAUCCUCGACUCUGGAAGUUCUCAUACACACCCGGCCCACCGUGCCUGGAUCUCCAAAUUUUGUUCAAAUUUCGUUCAACUGCCCACGAUGGGGCAGGGGGGAGUCCAUAGUGACUCAUUUUCCCCAUCUGCUGAGAUGGCUUUUGACAAAUGAAGCCCAGCCAGAUGCUCCUGUGGGACCGAGAGACUGUCCACCUCAGAAGCGAGACCUUGGCUUCCAGGCCAGGAGCACCUCCCAUGUGGAUCUUCAGACUCUCAUCCACCACUACCGUGAUGCAAUUCGAACCACCUGGAAUGAGCACGGAGUCCACAGGGCAAGACUGCCCCCACGUCCGUCACCAGCCACAGGCUCAGGGACCCCCAGGCCACGUGCAAUUCUGACCCACCGGCCACAAAUCUGGAGGGGGGGUUCAUGACCCCCAUCAGGUUUAGGAAUUUGCUAGGAUAACUCACAGAGCUCAGGGAUCUGGAAGUCAAGGUGAGAAGCUCAUUCAGUGUGAGCUUUACAACACCCUCGGACCAUCCACAGAGCGAAUGCUACUCUCUUCUGCUGUCGUGAAGGAAAGACGUAGUGCAUUGUGACCUGCCAGAAGUCACACAGCCAGCAGACCAGCCCACCCUCAGCCUGGGUCUUCUGAUGCUGAGGCCAGGGCGUUUCCAGAACACCACGCUGAGACUUCACAAUGUAAUUUGAAAGUUUGAACCAAAAGGGCUUCUGAGAAGCAUUCAGUUGACAAGAAGCAGACAGCUCCUCCUCCUUCCCGCCCAUUCAUCUGCUCCCUGAGCCCUCUGGACAACGGGAGAAUUUAGUUUGAAUGCCCGUUUCUAACAACUCCGUUUCCCGAGUUUCUGAGCAACCCAGGCACCCACUAUCUGUCAUCAAGAGGGUGACCAUGGUGUCUGCCCAGCUUGGUCAUGGACUGCGGCCUUCAGAUGGGAGAAGAUGCUUCCAGACUUUGCCCGGUCAUUCUUCUCCACACCUUAACCCACCUGAAAACAGAUGCAGCGAGAAGCAUCUUUCUCUGCCCGGCGGUCUCCUCACAGAUGUCUCCCGAAACAUUUUUUCACCACACCUUUUUGCCUUCGAAAAGGGAUCAACACACAGUCCCUGUCUGGGGAGCCGUGGUGCAGGGCAGUGUAGCAAGUUAAACCCAGUCUCCACCACUCACCGGGUAAUCUUGGACGCGUUAUUGGUCUCUCCGAGCUGUUUCUAUGCUCACAAGACAGAGGAGGAGAAAUGGUGCGUGUCCUCUCAUCCCCAGUCCCCCCACCCCUGCUCCCUGCCCCGAGCCGGGCAUUCCAAGCAGAAAGCAGACCCCUUCGGGCGCCCAGCUGGGAUCAAUUCAGCAGAGCCACGCAGAAUGUGAGAAGCCAAUCACUUCAAAGCCAGGUUUGCACAACUGUGUCCAUUCUUCCUCCAAGAAAUUUCACACCUUGACACCAAGGAGCCGGUGUUUAAGAAAGAGGAAUUUAAAGUUAAGUAGCAUUUUCUCU